GACGAACGCUGGCGGCGUGCUUAACACAUGCAAGUCGAACGCUGAAGCUCAGCUUUUGUUGGGUGGAUGAGUGGCGAACGGGUGAGUAACACGUGAGUAACCUGCCUCCUUCUUUGGGAUAACGCCCGGAAACGGGUGCUAAUACUGGAUAUUCACUGGUCUUCGCAUGGGGGUUGGUGGAAAGGGUUUUUCUGGUGGGGGAUGGGCUCGCGGCCUAUCAGCUUGUUGGUGGGGUGAUGGCCUACCAAGGCUUUGACGGGUAGCCGGCCUGGGAGGGUGACCGGUCACAUUGGGACUGAGAUACGGCCCAGACUCCUCCGGGAGGCAGCAGUGGGGAAUAUUGCACAAUGGGCGCAAGCCUGAUGCAGCGACGCCGCGUGAGGGAUGGAGGCCUUCGGGUUGUGAACCUCUUUCGCUCAUGGUCAAGCCGCAACAAUGGUUGUGGUGAGGGUAGUGGGUAAAGAAGCGCCGGCUAACUACGUG
Molecule: ribosomal RNA, 483 nt
Filed under: uncultured bacterium
Lineage: Bacteria
Description: partial 16S ribosomal RNA
Rfam family: Bacterial small subunit ribosomal RNA
Source: RNAcentral